GACGAACGCUGGCGGUGUGCUUAACACAUGCAAGUCGAACGGUAAGGCCCUUUCGGGGGUACACGAGUGGCGAACGGGUGAGUAACACGUGAGUAACCUGCCCUCAUCUCUGGGAUAACAGUCGGAAACGGUUGCUAAUACUGGAUAUGAGCUUGCAGGGCAUCUUGUGGGUUGGAAAGAUUUUUUUUGGUUGGGGAUGGACUCGCGGCCUAUCAGCUUGUUGGUGAGGUAGUGGCUCACCAAGGCUUCGACGGGUAGCCGGCCUGAGAGGGCGACCGGCCACAUUGGGACUGAGAUACGGCCCAAACUCCUACGGGAGGCAGCAGUGGGGAAUAUUGCACAAUGGACGGAAGUCUGAUGCAGCAACGCCGCGUGCGGGAUGACGGCCUUCGGGUUGUAAACCGCUUUCAAUUGUGACGAAGCUUUUUUGUGACGGUAGCAGUAGAAGAAGCACCGGCUAACUACGUG
RNAcentral lists this ribosomal RNA (468 nucleotides) under uncultured bacterium. RNAcentral describes it as "partial 16S ribosomal RNA". It matches the Rfam family "Bacterial small subunit ribosomal RNA", at positions 28 to 507 of the family's 1533-position model. The record is from RNAcentral.